Molecule: ribosomal RNA, 465 nt
Filed under: uncultured Pseudomonadota bacterium
Lineage: Bacteria; Pseudomonadati; Pseudomonadota
Description: bacterial SSU rRNA
Rfam family: Bacterial small subunit ribosomal RNA
Source: RNAcentral
GGAGGAAAGCAGGGGAUCGCAAGACCUUGCGCUCAUUGAGCGGCCGAUGCCUGAUUAGCUAGUUGGUGAGGUAAAGGCUUACCAAGGCGACGAUCAGUAGCUGGUCUGAGAGGACGACCAGCCACACUGGGACUGAGACACGGCCCAGACUCCUACGGGAGGCAGCAGUGGGGAAUUUUGGACAAUGGGGGAAACCCUGAUCCAGCCAUGCCGCGUGAGUGAAGAAGGCCUUCGGGUUGUAAAGCUCUUUCAGCCGGAACGAAACGGUCACGGCUAAUACCUGUGACUACUGACGGUACUCGCAGAAGAAGCACCGGCUAACUACGUGCCAGCAGCCGCGGUAAUACGUAGGGUGCAGGCGUUAAUCGGAAUUACUGGGCGUAAAGCGUGCGCAGGCGGCUCCUUAAGUCAGAUGUGAAAGCCCCGGGCUUAACCUGGGAACUGCGUUUGAAACUACAAAGCUAG